This 670-nucleotide ribosomal RNA is filed under the name alpha proteobacterium IMCC14769. Its description in RNAcentral is "bacterial SSU rRNA". It matches the Rfam family "Bacterial small subunit ribosomal RNA", at positions 28 to 743 of the family's 1533-position model. Lineage: Bacteria; Pseudomonadati; Pseudomonadota; Alphaproteobacteria. The record is from RNAcentral.
AACGUACGCUGGCGGCACGCCUAACACAUGCAAGUCGAACGAAGUAGCAAUACUUAGUGGCAGACGGGUGAGUAACAUGUGGGUAUCUACCCUUUGGCCUGGAAUAACACGAGGAAACUUGUGCUAAUACCGGAUAAGUCUUUACGGAGAAAGCUUUAUGCACCAUUGGAUGAGCCCGCACUUGAUUAGUUUGUUGGUAGGGUAAUGGCCUACCAAGACUAUGAUCAAUAGCUGAUUUGAGAGGAUGAUCAGCCACAUUGGGACUGAGACACGGCCCAAACUCCUACGGGAGGCAGCAGUGGGGAAUCUUGCACAAUGGAGGAAACUCUGAUGCAGCGAUGCCGCGUGAGUGAAGAAGGCCCUUGGGUUGUAAAGCUCUUUCGUCGGGGAAGAAAAUGACUGUACCCGAAUAAGAAGGUCCGGCUAACUUCGUGCCAGCAGCCGCGGUAAUACGAAGGGACCUAGCGUAGUUCGGAAUUACUGGGCUUAAAGAGUUCGUAGGUGGUUGAAAAAGUUAGUGGUGAAAUCCCAGAGCUUAACUCUGGAACUGCCAUUAAAACUUUUCAGCUAGAGUAUGAUAGAGGAAAGCAGAAUUUCUAGUGUAGAGGUGAAAUUCGUAGAUAUUAGAAAGAAUACCAAUUGCGAAGGCAGCUUUCUGGAUCAUUACUGA